GCUCCGGUAGUAUAGUCCGGUUAAGUAUACGGGCCUCUCGAGCCCGUGACCCGGGUUCAAAUCCCGGCCGGAGCA
This 75-nucleotide transfer RNA is filed under the name Nitrososphaeria archaeon. Its description in RNAcentral is "tRNA-Glu". It matches the Rfam family "tRNA". Rfam says of the family: Transfer RNA (tRNA) molecules are approximately 80 nucleotides in length. Their secondary structure includes four short double-helical elements and three loops (D, anti-codon, and T loops). The record is from RNAcentral. Lineage: Archaea; Thermoproteati; Nitrososphaerota; Nitrososphaeria.